UAGGGAAUCUUCCGCAAUGGACGAAAGUCUGACGGAGCAACGCCGCGUGAGUGAAGAAUGAUUUCGGUUCGUAAAACUCUGUUGUUAGGGAAGAAAAAAUGUAUAGUAACUAUAUACAAAAGAGACGGUACCUAACCAGAAAGCCACGGCUAACUACGUGCCAGCAGCCGCGGUAAUACGUAGGUGGCAAGCGUUGUCCGGAAUUAUUUGGCGUAAAGCGCGCGCAGGUGGUUUAGAAAGUCUGAUGUGAAAGCCCACGGCUCAACCGUGGAGGGUCAUUGGAAACUAAUAAACUUGAGUGCAGGAGAGAAAAGUGGAAUUCCUAGUGUAGCGGUGAAAUGCGUAGAGAUUAGGAGGAACACCGGUGGCGAAAGCGGCUUUUUGGCCUGCAACUGACACUGAGGCGCGAAAGAGUGGGGAGCAAACAGG
This 429-nucleotide ribosomal RNA is filed under the name Verrucomicrobiota bacterium. RNAcentral describes it as "Verrucomicrobia bacterium partial 16S ribosomal RNA". It matches the Rfam family "Bacterial small subunit ribosomal RNA", at positions 355 to 776 of the family's 1533-position model. Lineage: Bacteria; Pseudomonadati; Verrucomicrobiota. The record is from RNAcentral.